UACGUAGGGUGCAAGCGUUGUCCGGAAUUAUUGGGCGUAAAGAGCUUGUAGGCGGUUUGUCGCGUCUGCUGUGAAAUUUCGGGGCUCAACCCCGAACUUGCAGUGGGUACGGGCAGACUAGAGUGUGGUAGGGGAGACUGGAAUUCCUGGUGUAGCGGUGAAAUGCGCAGAUAUCAGGAGGAACACCGAUGGCGAAGGCGGCAUCCUGGACCGGCAUUGACGCUGAGGAGCGAAAGCCAGGGGAGCAAACGGG
RNAcentral lists this ribosomal RNA (253 nucleotides) under uncultured bacterium. RNAcentral describes it as "partial 16S ribosomal RNA". It matches the Rfam family "Bacterial small subunit ribosomal RNA", at positions 524 to 776 of the family's 1533-position model. The record is from RNAcentral.